This 548-nucleotide ribosomal RNA is filed under the name Aureobasidium pullulans. Its description in RNAcentral is "LSU rRNA". It matches the Rfam family "Eukaryotic large subunit ribosomal RNA", at positions 92 to 656 of the family's 3401-position model. Lineage: Eukaryota; Fungi; Ascomycota; Dothideomycetes; Dothideales; Saccotheciaceae. The record is from RNAcentral.
AGUGAGCGGCAACAGCUCAAAUUUGAAAGCUGGCCUUCGGGUCCGCAUUGUAAUUUGUAGAGGAUGCUUUGGGUGAAACGCCAGUCUAAGUUCCUUGGAACAGGACGUCAUAGAGGGUGAGAAUCCCGUAUGUGACUGGAAAUGUUAACCUAUGUAAAGCUCCUUCGACGAGUCGAGUUGUUUGGGAAUGCAGCUCUAAAUGGGAGGUAAAUUUCUUCUAAAGCUAAAUAUUGGCGAGAGACCGAUAGCGCACAAGUAGAGUGAUCGAAAGAUGAAAAGCACUUUGGAAAGAGAGUUAAAAAGCACGUGAAAUUGUUGAAAGGGAAGCGCUUGCAAUCAGACUUGUUUAAACUGUUCGGCCGGUCUUCUGACCGGUUUACUCAGUUUGGACAGGCCAGCAUCAGUUUCGGCGGCCGGAUAAAGGCUCUGGGAAUGUGGCCUUCACUUCGGUGAAGGUGUUAUAGCCCAGGGUGUAAUACGGCCAGCCGGGACUGAGGUCCGCGCUUCGGCUAGGAUGCUGGCGUAAUGGUUGUAAGCGACCCGUCUUG